AUUGAACGCUGGCGGCAUGCCUUACACAUGCAAGUCGAACGGCAGCACGGGAGCAAUCCUGGUGGCGAGUGGCGAACGGGUGAGUAAUAUAUCGGAACGUGCCCAGUCGUGGGGGAUAACGUAGCGAAAGCUACGCUAAUACCGCAUACGAUCUAUGGAUGAAAGCGGGGGGAUCGCAAGACCUCGCGCGAUUGGAGCGGCCGAUAUCAGAUUAGGUAGUUGGUGAGGUAAAGGCUCACCAAGCCGACGAUCUGUAGCUGGUCUGAGAGGACGACCAGCCACACUGGGACUGAGACACGGCCCAGACUCCUACGGGAGGCAGCAGUGGGGGAAUUUUUGGACAAUGGGCGCAAGCCUGAUCCAGCAAUAGCCGCGUGCAGGAUGAAGGCC
Molecule: ribosomal RNA, 390 nt
Filed under: uncultured bacterium
Lineage: Bacteria
Description: bacterial SSU rRNA
Rfam family: Bacterial small subunit ribosomal RNA
Source: RNAcentral